CAUAUAAUCACAUCCAGUGUUUGUUUAACCUACUUCUCAAAUCUGAAUCUUUUAAACUCUAAUAUAAAAAUGUGCCCUAAUUGGUAGCUAUUAAUCAGCAUUAACUUUAACAAAGCUGGCUUAGUGACUUUUUACAACCUAACCAUGAGCCUCUGACCAUAUGAAAUAUUGACUGUUAAUUUGAUGAUUGCAAUGGUGGAUUUAUAGGAGACUGUUUGGUGUCGUAGCUCACAAAUUAUACUGCUAACUUCCGAUGUCUCAUAUUUAGUGGUCCAUUGACAAAAGUCAUAAGUCAUAUUUUCAGGACAUUUCCUUGUUCUAAAACUUCAGCGCUUGUCAUCACUUGAAAGCGGCUUGCAGAUUUCCGAGUACUUGACUCUAUAGUCGGCUUAGCUUUCAUAGAUUGUCAUUAGUCAGACAUCUGAAGCACUUCAGCAGGACCAUUAGUCAACGUGUAGCCAACACCACCCACUUGGACAACAGAGACGGAUGACCUGCCAGUUCCCACUGCAUCUUUCACUCUCCGGAGAAAAGCCAGAGACGGCUUUCGGGAGUGAAAAUAAUCAAGUUUACACCCCUUGUUAGAACCUUGUUUUGGAAUGAAGUGGUUAUUAAUCAGAAUUUAGAAGCCCUGCUCGUUACCUGCUCUGAUUCUGCCGUGUUUCUUCACUAGUUCCGUCAGUUCUCGCAUCGAGCGUGUAACCAGGAUUUUCUCUUUAAAGAUAACGUAUAAUAAUUUCCACUUUUCCUGUUGGCUAUAGGCCCUUUGCCUCCUGUCUGCCUCUGUGGGCUUUCAAUAAUUUUUCACUGGGCAGCGUGUGAUGGAUAGGUUGUAUUUAUUCACUGUUGGGCGUCUGCUAUGUGAAUAUGACUCAUUUCUAGGCAUUACGUAUUCAUGGCUUGGGAUAGGACGUAUACAGGAAGUUAUAAUUAAUGUGUCACAGUGGGAGGUGUUGGUAGACGGCAGGUUUGUUGGAGGGCGUUCUGGAGCAUAAUGUGAUUUACAGUACAAACAACUGGGAGGGUGUUUGUCUGAGUUUAAAAACUGAAAGGCAGUACUUCUUUGUCAUUGCAGACCCUGAUAAGUCUUCCAGCGUAACAAUGUCCUGGAGAACAUAACCAUUCCACACAGGACAAUGUUGCCAACAAUAAUAUCUCCUAUCAUUUUUUUUUUUUUUACCAUGUAUUACCUGUAAAGGCCUAUAAACUUAACUUUUUGCUGCGUAAAUGGCCACGAGUUAAGCAGCUGUUUCACUUGUAAGAAGUUUCACCUUGUGGCAGAAACAUUCCCGUGUUAUUCACAAACAGCCAUGACAGUCAGACCUGGUGCUCAAGCAUUAAAUGAUGUAAUUGAAUUGUCCUCAUCCGUGGGGACAAUAUAGUUAACCUCAGUGAACACUGUGCUCUUACCCCGAUGUGUAUUAAAUACGGCGCAUUGUAGUGUGUUGACGCACAAUUACAAACAUGACUUGUAAUGGAGGUGCAAUGAAAGUCUUGGCAUCACAUCCUAAUAAAAAUAGCAGGUUGUUACCGGAGUUCACCGGCUACUGAGCGGCUAUUCAGAUAAGCACAAGCGCAUACCGCUGUUUGCCAAAUACUGCUCCCUAUCUCCACCUCUGUCUGUCUCCGGUGUGGGCCAAGGUCCUGAGUAAUGGCCAACCGUAAUCACCCCCGGUUUGUUAGUGUGUCUGGCUCAGACCAUUUCCAGGUGCGUGACCUGAUUCUCCUGCGGGGUAGGUGGUCUGAGGAGGCACAGGACCGUUUAUCACAGAGCAAAAGUCCAUUUAGAGGGCAUGUCUGUGUGGAUAUGUACCUGUGUGCAUCUACUGGAAUAAUCUCAAAGUGACAGACACGAUGAUGGUUGUCCUUUCUUUCUUUUUUAUUCACUCUCGUUACUCUUCAGGGUUCUUUCGUUCUCUGUGCCAUUUUGUGUAAAUAUGAGUGGUGCCUUGUAUCCGUUGGUGUCAGCAGAUUAUGAUCCUCCACUGAGCCUUAUAACCUUGUGGGGAGAAGGAGCCUUAAGGCCAAGACAAACAUGGUAAAACCUGUCUGAGACCAGUGCAAAUGGUAAGUGGCAGCAGUUGAAGCUCAAAUGAGCAGUUAACGUAAUCAAAGACCUUUAAAAAAUAAAACGGGAACACCCAGGUUUGAUCAUUAAUGAGCAUUUUUGUGGAUGCUGAAAUAGAAAAUGGAGGACUAAAGUCAUUUGGUCACCAUACGUCUUGUUUUGGGGUUUGAUCUGAGAAUUCAGGAAUGUUCCAGAGACACAGCAAAUAAACUCACUGCUGCUUGAAGGCGAAACCUAGCACUCAACCACGGGCCGUAAGGAAUUAUCCCUGAUCCACAGUUUGGGAAACUUGACGUCCACCUCAAGUCUCAACCCUCUAUUCAUGCUUUUUUUUUUUUUUUUUGAGUGUUAAAAAGGGGUACGGUACCCCACGUAUCUGUCUCACCCCUCCUCUUCCCACCCCCCGUUUCUCCAUCCCUCCUCUUGCCAACAUAUUUUCACUGGCCGUAAUCCUAUUAGAGGCAUUAUGUAGUUUAUUGUUGGAAAGGAUUAGAUUUGGAGAGGAAUAAUAAGUGGGGGUUGAGAUCUGAAUGGGGUCUCUCUCCCUCCUGUUGGCUUUAACCAGAUUUGUUAUUGUAUUAUGUUGUAUAAUCAUAUCUGUUUUCAGAUCGUGCAGUAGUUUGGCUUAAGCUGCUAACGAGACAUUGGUUUUACUGUAAGUCGGCUCUGGUAGAGAUGGUGGGUUUUUCACAUGAAUUUUGGGGCUUAGUAACCGUUUGUUUUUAGGAUUUUGCGGCGGCCACACAUAUGUGACCUUAAUUUGAUAACUAGUAAAGUAUUGCAUUGGGCGGUGGGCUGAAGGGAUUUCUAAGCCGUCUGGGUCCUCCAUCGGGAACACAAAUACCUUCCUUUCGUGGUUCAAAGCGGCUUCUUCUUUACUUCUUUUCUGAAUGUGUUGACUUUGAACACCUGCGGUGAUAUUGUAGAAGCUGUGAUGCUGAUCUUGUUAUCUUUCUCUUCUUUACUUCAAUUGCUUUUAUUGAAUUAUAGAGCAAACAAGCUUCAAAGAUAUCAUAAACUGUGUGCCACAAGCUGUGGUAUUAAUUGAAAAGUAGGUAUAAUUGUCAUAUGGUACGUUUUAGGGAAAGGACAGAAGUGCGAGGAUUCAUUCUACAUUUAAAUCUGAAUUAUUUUCAUAAUACUCGUUUUUUUUCCCCUGUUGAAUUUGAUCUCUGCAGUUAUUAUUUACAGUAAUGAAUUCCCAUGCACCUUCACUAUUGCCUCCUUUUUAACUCCAGCUAUUCUGAAGUCAAUGGGAAAUAUUAAGAUGUGAAAAAAGCAAACUUUUGAUUUCAAGAACCAUAAAUUCAGAGGAAUUUGGUGCCUCCUUCUUUCUUUCAAAUGCAAAACAGCUUGUUAUUUCUAGGAGAUUUUGAAAUGCAUGCUGCCCGACAAAUUUUAAAGACUCAGCACUGCCCUUUUAGGUUAUACGUUUAGAGAUUUCUGUAGUGUUUAUGGUCUGUGAAAUGCACUCUUGGAAAAUGUCCAGUUAUCCAAGGCAGCGUGCACAUUUUAAUUUAAUUUCAACACAUUUCAGAGGCUCCUCAACUCUGCCUCAAAUGUAAUGUGAAAGCCAGAUGCUGCAUUCAGCUUGUGCUGCGUUGGUUUGAGUUACAGGCAAACGCUGAUAGACUGGUUCAACAGGCUUGGUUAUUGCUCAAGUCAAACACAAUCAAAGUGACUUUAAACAAAAUAUGUGCUUGACUAUAAUGAGCUGCUGUAUGCUACAUGUUGUGAUAAUUAUCUGCAGUUAUGUGGUUCACCUGCUUGUUUAAAAGCUGGCAGGCCUUUUCAAAUAGCCUCUGCCUUAUACCCUUGAAAUGUGUUUUUGUACCCGUUCUGUACAUUUACACUCUGUUUAUUCUUUUAUGUGGUUGAGGAAUAUACGCAAUCACUCUCUAACCGCACACGCAUUAACGCUCACACACAUACGUAGCAAUGUCUGCAAUCCAAAUGACGCAAAAGGUCAUUUUUGAUGGCUGUUUCAUGGCUGUCCCAUUUGCUACUGCAAGCAUUGUUUUGGAUCAAUACAUUUCAAAAUGUUCUAUGGUAAAGGCUCAAAUAUCAGGUCCGAGUUGUUCUGAGUUUGCUUGGACUUAAGGUAAGCCUGUUUCGCCUCACUGCAUCUCAAAACAUUUCUUUGAGGGAAAGCACAUAUUUACCUGUUUGACAUCAACUUCCGUGGCUCAGCUUCACGUUGUUCAUGACAUUGAAGCAUCCUGAUGUUUUUUACGAUUGACAGUCAAUGCGUUAUCGUGUAAGUUAAACACAGAUUGGAAUACCUGAUACAACCCUGACAGUCAAAUUACGACAAGCAAAAACAAAAGGUAAGCGCAACUGACUUAAGUCCGCUCCACAGGAGCUGGAACAGGCGGGUUUGUGUUCUGUCAUUAAAUGGAGAAAUCAAUGUAAUGUACAAUGAUUCUGUAGCUUCACAAACAGGAAUCUUUACUGCAAAUAGAACAUCCUCACACGUUGAGUCUUUGACAGAAUAGUUAGAUCGGUGUAGAUAAGUGACAUACAGAGUUUAUUAUGUUGCGCCUGUUGGAUACGGUUUCGUGUUGGGAGAAGUCAUCACAUCUCAAAGUGGCUCUUGCACAAGCUGCUUUUGUUACUUUAUCUGAGGGAUGCCAGCUUAUGGUUCUGGCUGCUGAUUAUUUACAGUGUCCUUGGCAAAGACCCUUUAAAGAACCGAAAAACAAAAAAACUUUAACUCAAUUCAAAUAAGAUGAACAACAUUAACAUUGUUUUAAUGGCUUAUGCACUAAAUAGAGUUUAAAAUACAUAGCUUACUUUUUUUUUUUUUUAGAUCCAAGUAUCGUCCUCACAAAAUCUUCUGCCUCCUAAUUCACUCAAAGAACCAAAGAGGUGUAGUUUUCUGUAACUUUGCAAAAGUCACAUAAUCUGAAGUCACACAAUCUGCAGUAAUGUCACAAUUGACCCCUCAGCCUUUGAUUUAUGUGUAAAGCCAACCGUUGUCACAACAUCUGGUCUCUCUACCAAAUCUGUGCCGUUUGCACAAACUCACUGGUGUUGCCGACCGACUGCAGCUGCUGUGCUCAAAUGUUGAUUCACAAAAAUUGAGCUCUUCACCUUGAGCCAAGCAGUAACUGAUUAGCAGACAUAGAUUGUCUUUGUAGCACUGAUUGAUUCCGUUGCAUGAGAAAGUGGCUUCUGCCUUCUCACAUUGCAGAGGUCAAUCAAUCCUUUCAGUUAGUCACAUCAGAAUUAUUUUUUUUGGCAAACAUUUACAGUUACAUAGUUUAAAAAGCACUUGAAUGUACUAUCCAUGAAAUGUAUUAAAGAAGCAGCAUUCAGCAGGAUGCUCCGAGAAAUAGACAUUCUGCGUUGGAUAUUAGUCCAGUCCCAUAAGGGUUUCCUGUACAACAAUAAUCAGCAUGUUUCUUUGAAAAUGUUCUUUAUUUGAAAAUGUUUCUAUACUGUAAAGGAUUUGCGUCGUCUCCUGCUGUCCUUAUUUAUAAAGCCUGUGAUUACAUCUCUCCUAGAAUUUAAUUAUUUACCGUUCUGCUGUCCUUCAUUGUGAGACAUUUUCUGUAUAAUCAUCUGUUAUGCCUGUUAAGUGCAACACGGGUUAUUCUUUUAUCAAAAUCGUAAUGCUCAAACUAGAAAGAUGAACGUUGGUAACAUUGUACCUGAUUAACAACAACAUGUUAGUCACUGUGUUGUUGCACGACAAUUAAAGUCAUCGUGUUCACAUGCUGACUGAAACUGUCACUGUCAUUCAUCAUAAAUGGCCGUACGUACAAUGGUGAAGAAGUUUGUAAAAGCCUCCAUUUGUAUCAGUCUCUUCAUUACUUCAUGUCAAUGUCACCUCUCAAAGCUAUCUUAACCAUGUUACUAAUCCCCGAGUUAAGUCCCUCGCCACUCCUUUUCCCAGGUCAUCCUCAAUCAUCUACAGUAGUUUAACUACCCAUCAUUAAUCAGGCUGCUUUGCGUUCUGCUGUUUCUGACUGGACGGGCUGCUGGGAGAAAUGCAGUACUCGUAUUUCUCUCUGGCUAAAGCACAGCACACUACAGACCUGAUGUGGAUGAUGCAGCCGGCAAGAUUAAUUGGGCCCAGUUACAGAGGAUCAGCAAGUUUGGAGCUCUUCACAUGCUGCUCCUCCAUAUGGCAGCAGAGAAGUCACAAACUAUGAUUAAUAGUUCAGGCUUCUCUGUAUCUGGUUGUGGCAUUCAUAAUUUAAAUAGUUUUCAAAAACGUUUUGUUCUUACUAAGAAAUGUUUGAUCGCAAAUUCACUUGUAGAACUCUUAAAAACAAAAUGCAAAUCCCAAACAUUGUACGCUGCUUUUAUAACUAAGACGUUACUGGUGAUUUCACCGGUUAAGCAGAUAUGCAAAGCAUUCAUUAACAAGUGCAGCGUGUAAGCUACUUUGCAAAAUUGUCAAGGCCAACUGUAUCAAAGUUGCUCCAAGAAGGGUUGGCCUUGACAUCAAGUUAACUCCUAACACUGCCUCUAUUUUUAGUUCAGAAAACAAAAUUUGGCCUCAUUAUUUUUGGUAUUUAUCUUAUCUUUUUAUAUUUUACAUGACUUUGGCCUAAAAGUGUGUUUCCCAGCAAAAGUGGCUGCAAAUUGCCUCAGGUCUUAUUUGCCUCAGAGGGCCCGUGCGAGGCGGUAGUGUUGUGGUCAGCACUCCAAAGACUCUUUGAAUUGCAAAUCACCGCUGUAACUCAAAAGUAAUGCAGCGGGGAUCCUCACCUCCUGUCAUUUUUCUGCAUUUGGGUGCAUGGGGGGCACCAUUGUAGAGAAAGUGCAGUUAUUGUUUCUGUCUCUGGUGUGACUCGUCCUUAUUGUAGGGAUGACUUGGGCCUGCUCUCUCAACCUCCACGUCUCUAAUGUGCCAGAGGGCUCCCUUGGCUGUAAUAUUGCCCGUCUACGAGCAUUACCGCGUUGUGUAC
This is a long non-coding RNA of Gasterosteus aculeatus aculeatus (three-spined stickleback), 6987 nucleotides long. NCBI's taxonomy places the organism in Eukaryota, Metazoa, Chordata, Actinopteri, Perciformes, Gasterosteidae. The record is from Ensembl.